This is a non-coding RNA of Pan troglodytes (chimpanzee), 148 nucleotides long. It matches the Rfam family "Metazoan signal recognition particle RNA". Rfam says of the family: The signal recognition particle (SRP) is a universally conserved ribonucleoprotein. It is involved in the co-translational targeting of proteins to membranes. The record is from Rfam. NCBI's taxonomy places the organism in Eukaryota, Metazoa, Chordata, Mammalia, Primates, Hominidae.
GCCAGGCACGGUGGAGCAUGCCUGUAGUCCCAGCUACUUGGGAGGCUGACGUGGGAGGAUCACCUGAUCCCAGGAGGUCGAGGCUGCAGUGAACCAUGAUUGUGCCACUGCAGUCUAGCCUGGGCAAUGGAGUGAGAACCUGUGUCAA